GUGUCAGCAGCCGCGGUAAUACCGGCAGCCCAAGUGAUGGCCGAUCUUAUUGGGCCUAAAGCGUCCGUAGCUGGCCGCGCAAGUCCGUCGGGAAAUCCACCUGCCCAACUGAUGGGCGUCCGGCGGAAACUGCACGGCUUGGGACCGGAAGGCUCGAGAGGUACGUCCGGGGUAGGAGUGAAAUCCCGUAAUCCCGAACGGACCACCGAUGGCGAAAGCAUCUCGAGAAAACGGAUCCGACAGUGAGGGACGAAAGCUAGGGUCUCAAACCGGAUUAGAAACCCGAGUAGUCC
This 293-nucleotide ribosomal RNA is filed under the name uncultured bacterium. RNAcentral describes it as "partial 16S ribosomal RNA". It matches the Rfam family "Archaeal small subunit ribosomal RNA", at positions 455 to 747 of the family's 1478-position model. The record is from RNAcentral.